Molecule: ribosomal RNA, 48 nt
Filed under: Ageratum conyzoides
Lineage: Eukaryota; Viridiplantae; Streptophyta; Magnoliopsida; Asterales; Asteraceae
Description: partial 18S ribosomal RNA
Source: RNAcentral
AAAAAAAAUGACAAGGUUUCCGUAGGUGAACCUGCGGAAGGAUCAUUG